This 59-nucleotide transfer RNA is filed under the name Dolichospermum sp. RNAcentral describes it as "tRNA-Arg". It matches the Rfam family "tRNA", at positions 9 to 64 of the family's 71-position model. From Rfam's summary of the family: Transfer RNA (tRNA) molecules are approximately 80 nucleotides in length. Their secondary structure includes four short double-helical elements and three loops (D, anti-codon, and T loops). Further hydrogen bonds mediate the characteristic L-shaped molecular structure. tRNAs have two regions of fundamental functional importance: the anti-codon, which is responsible for specific mRNA codon recognition, and the 3' end, to which the tRNAs corresponding amino acid is attached (by aminoacyl-tRNA synthetases). tRNAs cope with the degeneracy of the genetic code in two manners: having more than one tRNA (with a specific anti-codon) for a particular amino acid; and 'wobble' base-pairing, i.e. permitting non-standard base-pairing at the 3rd anti-codon position. Lineage: Bacteria; Bacillati; Cyanobacteriota; Cyanophyceae; Nostocales; Aphanizomenonaceae. The record is from RNAcentral.
AGCUCAGUGGACUAGAGCACGUGGCUACGAACCACGGUGUCGGGGGUUCGAAUCCCUCC